Molecule: unclassified non-coding RNA, 387 nt
Filed under: Hevea brasiliensis (rubber tree)
Lineage: Eukaryota; Viridiplantae; Streptophyta; Magnoliopsida; Malpighiales; Euphorbiaceae
Source: RNAcentral
AGGUCCCAAAUCCUAAUCUCUCUCUUUAUCUCUUCCAAUUUGUCUGCGUACCUUUUUCGAGAUUUGUAUGAUUCUGUUUAAAUAGAUAGACAUCUUAUUGAAAAUGGCUAAGCUUAGCAGGUCUGUUCAUUUCUAGUGCACCUUUGUUGGGUUGAUGUUGAAUUUCUGUUUAAAGUUUAUGGUUUUGGUGAGAUUAAGCUCAAUCUUAUUAAAUUUCUAGCUUGGACCUCAUUUGUUCGCUAUAAUGGGGUACGCAUAAAGCAUAAUGUGUAGCUCAAGUCUGAAAUUCUACUGUAAUUAUGUUAAAAAAAAUCUUCGGAGUUAAUCUUAGGCCAUAUUUACAGUGAAUUCAAUAUGAACAUCAAAGGGCCUUCUUUUCCUUUUGCU